RNAcentral lists this ribosomal RNA (497 nucleotides) under uncultured bacterium. RNAcentral describes it as "partial 16S ribosomal RNA". It matches the Rfam family "Bacterial small subunit ribosomal RNA", at positions 28 to 507 of the family's 1533-position model. The record is from RNAcentral.
GAUGAACGCUGGCGGCGUGCCUAAUACAUGCAAGUCGAGCGAACGGACGAGAAGCUUGCUUCUCUGAUGUUAGCGGCGGACGGGUGAGUAACACGUGGAUAACCUACCUAUAAGACUGGGAUAACUUCGGGAAACCGGAGCUAAUACCGGAUAAUAUUUUGAACCGCAUGGUUCAAAAGUGAAAGACGGUCUUGCUGUCACUUAUAGAUGGAUCCGCGCUGCAUUAGCUAGUUGGUAAGGUAACGGCUUACCAAGGCAACGAUGCAUAGCCGACCUGAGAGGGUGAUCAGCCACACUGGAACUGAGACACGGUCCAGACUCCUACGGGAGGCAGCAGUAGGGAAUCUUCCGCAAUGGGCGAAAGCCUGACGCAGCAACGCCGCGUGAGUGAAGAAGGUCUUCGGAUCGUAAAACUCUGUUAGUAGGGAAGAACAUAUGUGUGAGUAUAUGUGCACAUCUUGACGGUACCUAAUGAGAAAGCCACGGCUAACUACGUG